GAGGGGAUGGGGGUGGAGGGAAUAGUGGAACGUCUGGAGAUAACGGAGGGGAUGGUGGAGGAGGUGGUGGAACGAUCGGAGACGGAUAAGGAAAUGGUGCAGAAGGAGGUGGAGAGGAUGGUGGAGUAGAUGGCGGAAUGGCUGGAGAUGGAUAAGGAGAUGGCUCGGAAGGUGGUGAAGGGGACGGAGAGGGAGAUGAUGCAGAAGGUGGUGGAGGGGGAUAAGGGGAUGGAGAAGGUGGUGGAACGGCUGAAGAUGGGGGAGAGGGCAGAGGGAAUGGUGGUGGAGGUGGUUGAACAGCCGGAGAUGGAUAAGGAGAUAGUUCAAAAGAUAAUUCCUUC
Molecule: non-coding RNA, 341 nt
Organism: Solanum lycopersicum (tomato)
Lineage: Eukaryota; Viridiplantae; Streptophyta; Magnoliopsida; Solanales; Solanaceae
Source: RefSeq, a predicted model, not a curated record